CAGAAAUAAUUCAACCCAAACUAAAAAAUAAUUGGAUCCAAACCACAACUAAAAAAUGCAUCAAUCAAUUAUAAUGGCCCUCUCUCUUCUCUUCUUUCUCUUCCCUCAUUAUCCUUCAUUUAAAAUGGCCCAUUGUCCAUUGCAUUGUGUGGUAGAAAUUCCCUUGAUUCACAUGGGAUAUUAGACAGAUAACCUAAUAUCAACUAGGAAAUUUAAUGCAUCGGCUUGAAUUUGAGAUGGACCAGAGAUCACUUCGUUUUAUUUGCAUCGAAAGCUAGGUCGUUGUCUUUAUAUCCAGAUUGAAGAAGGGCCAUUUAGUUUUCAUUUUAUUGUAAAUAUACAGCCAAGGAUAGUGUCAGAAUCUCUCUACCACUUACAACUCGCUCGUAGCCAUGGACUAUCUUCUUUCAUUUCCCACAGAUGCUCUGGCUGCUGUAUUUGCCCUUCUGCUUUUGCUUUACUACCUAUCAAGAAACAGAAGGAAGAAGAAAGCUGCACCUGAAGCUGAAGGUGCUUGGCCUUUGAUUGGCCACCUGCAUCUACUCGGGGGACCGCAACCACCCCACAUGGUAUUGAGUAACGUGGCUGACAAAAUCGGACCAAUCUUCACCAUCAGGAUGGGUAUGCAUAUAACUUUGAUUGUAAGCAAUUGGGAGACGGCCAAAGAGUGCUUAACUACUAAUGAUAAAGUUUUCGCAACUCGUCCAAAAACUAUAGCCACUGAGAUUAUGGGCUACAAUCGUUCCAUGUUUGGUUUCAUCCCUUAUGGUCCAUACUGGCGUCAGGUUCGCAAGAUAGCCACACAUGAGCUUCUCUCAAACCACCGGCUCGAGAUGCUAAAAAAUGUUCGAGAAUCAGAGGUAAGAAAAUUUUUGAAAGAGCUGUACAAGUUAUGGGAUAAAAGCAAAAAUGGUUCAAAUAAGGUGUUGCUAGAGAUGAAGAGAUGGUUCGGAGACAUAAGCUUAAAUGUAAUUUUUAGGAUAAUUGUUGGGAAAUCUGUAGGAUAUAUGAGCACAAACGUUGGAGAAGAUAGUGAAGUAUGGAAACAAGCGUUGAGAGAUUUUUUUUAUUUGUCAGGGAGGUUUGUGCCGGCUGAUGCAGUUCCAUUUUUGAGGUGGUUGGACAUUGGCGGAUUCGAGAAGGCCAUGAUGAAGACUGCAAAAGAACUUGACCAUGUUGUUGAAGUGUGGUUAAAUGAGCAUAAGGAGAAGAGAGCUUCUGGUUUUAAUCAGGAAGAGGAGGACUUUAUGGACCUGAUGCUAAACAUUCUGGAUGAAACAGAAAUUGUUGAGGGUCCAGAUUCUGACACCAUGAACAAAGCCACAUGCCUGGUAAUCAGUGUUUCUGUACUGUCUACCUACCAUUUCCUUCGUCUUGAAAAGAAAAAUCAUAACAUUUUCUUCUAACAAAUUGCACUAAUUGGUUCAUUUUUGCCUACAUUUUACUGCUUUAAUUACAUUCCAGGGCCUUUUGUUAGCGGCUUCAGAUACAACGACAGUCACUUUGACGUGGGCUCUUUCUUUACUGGUCAAUAACCCUGAAGCCAGGAAGAAGGCCCAAAGUGAAUUGGACGUCCAUGUUGGAAGAGAAAGGCAAGUACAGGAAUCAGACAUGAAGAAUUUGAUCUAUCACCAGGCCAUCCUUAAGGAAACAAUGCGAUUAUACCCUGCUGGACCCCUUUCUUUGCCACAUGAGUCUACAGAACAUUGCACAGUAGGUGGCUAUAAUAUACCGGCAGGCACGAGACUUCUCCUCAAUAUUUGGAAAAUUCAUCAUGAUCCGCAAGUAUGGGAAAACCCUUUCGAGUUUCGACCAGAAAGAUUUCUCACAACCCAUAAGGAUAUUGAUGUUAGGGGCAAAAAUUUUGAAUUUAUACCAUUUGGCAGUGGCAGAAGGAUGUGCCCUGGAAUCUCAUUUGCGCUUCAAGUUAUGCAGCUAACACUAGCUAAGUUGCUGCAUGGUUUUGAUAUUGAAAAUCCAUCAGAUGAGCCAAUUGAUAUGACAGAAAGCAUUGGACUAACCAACCUUAGAGCCACUCCACUCGAAGUCCUCAUGAGUCCUCGCCUUCCGGCUCAUCUCUACUUAUGAUCAUUUGAUGUGUUAAGUAUACUAGUAUAGUACCCGCACAAUGUUGCGGGUGAUUUGUUAUGUGCGCAGUGUGGAUUCUUCUGUCUUCCUAAUAAAAUUUUAAUAUUAUACAUUUAUAAUAAAAAGAAUUAAAAAAAAUUAAAGUAGAUAUCAAAUAUAACUAUCUAAUAGACCAUAAAACUGAAUAUAAAAAUUUAUAUUUAAAGACAUAUACAUGGGCUCCGUCACCUGACCCCUAUAGUCCAAUGAUGUUGGCUCUAUCACCUGAUCACAUGGGCUUUUGUAGACAUUUAAUUUGAGCGUGAGUGCCAUCUUUGGGAUGUGCUUUAAGCGCUGGAGCAUUUGCAACCUAUGGAUAAUUAAUACAAUGUUUGCUGCAAAAUGCGAUUUCAUAGAUUCAAAUCAUAAUAGUUUCAAUAUACAUAGUCAUACAAGGUCGACAUUGAUUGGCCAAUUUAUUGAUAGAGAUGAGAUUGAAGGCGAGGACUAAGGAGGCAUUCAAGUGGGGUUGCUCUUAAGCUGGUUAAUCCAUUGCUCUCACUCAUAUCAAGCGGCUUGCUUGUUGGAUUUGCAAAAUCAAACCCCUGUAGCAACGUAGCUAGAGUUAAUUGCAAAACAUGAAGCGCAAAAGAGACACCAGGGCAUAUCCUUCUUCCACUGCCAAACGGUAUAAGUUCAAAGUUUUGUCCCCUAACAUCAUAAUCUUUGUGAAUCGUAAGAAAUCGUUCGGGUUGGAAUUCAGAAGGUUUGGACCACACCCUUGGAUCACGAUGAAUCUUGCUAAGAUUAAUAAGGAGUCUUGUGCCUGCUGGAAUAUGGUAGCCAGCUACAGUGCAGUCCUCCAUGGAUUCAUGCGGCAAAGAAAGCGGUGCAGCAGGGUAUAAACGCAGCGUUUCCUUGAUAAUGGCUUUGAGGUAAACCAAGCUAUUCAUAUCAGAUUCAUGUACUCGUCUUUUCUUACCAACAUUGAUGUCCAACUCGUGUUGGGCCUUCUUUAGGACAUUUGGGUUGUUGAUUAAUAAAGAGAGAGCCCAUAUCAACGUCACUGCCGUUGUGUCUGAUGCUGCCACAGUCAGACCCAGGGAUGUGGCUUUGUUGACGGUAUCGGAAUCUCGACCUACAACCAGCUGUGCAUCAUCAUCAAGAAUAUCCAGCAUCAGACCCAUGAAGUCUUCUUCUCCCUUCUUAACACCAGAAGCUUUCUUCUCCUUAUGCUCCUUUAGCCAUCCUUCAGCAAUAAGGUCCAAAUCUUUGGCUGUCUUCUUCAUGGCUCUUUCGUAUCCUCCAAUAUCCAGCCAUCUCAAAAAGGGUAUCGCAUCAGCCGCCACAAACUUCCCUGACAAAUCAAUGAAAUUCCUCAACGCUUCCUUCAAUCUUUCAUUAUCUUCGCCUUGAUUUGUAGUCAUAUAUCCCACAGAUUUCCCAAAAAUUAUCCUCAAGAUCACGUUCAAGGAUAUGUCUGCGAACCAUCUCUUCAUCUCCACCAACACCAUAUUUGAAUUAUUUUUCUUCUUUUCCCAUAAUCUAUACAACUCUUUUAAAGCUGUCCCCACCUCCGAUUCUCUUACAUGUUUCAGCAUCUCGAGUCGGUGGUUAGAGAGAAGUUCAAGUGUGGCUAUUUUGCGCGUUUGACGCCAGUAGUUGCCGUAUGAGCUAAACCCAAACAUGGCACGAUUAUAGGCCAAAAGGUCCAUGGCUAGAAUUUUUGGACGAUUAGCGAAAGCUCUAUCGUUGAUGGUCAGACACUCCUUGGCAAUCUCCCAGUUGCUCACUACCAAAGCUCGAUACAUGCCCAUCUUGAUAGUGAAGAUCGGACCGUAUUUGCCAGCCAUGUUGUCCAAUACUUUGUGGGGCGGUUGCGGCCCUCCUAGGUGGUGGAGGUGGCCAAUUAGAGGCCACCCUCCUCCAGCUUCUGGCGCUCCUUUUUUCUUCCCUGCAGUCCUUGAGAAUCUUCUUGAUAUCCAAAAGAUCAGGGAGCAGAUUAAGAUCAGGAAGUUCACGGUGGCCGUAGCAUUUGUGGGGAAGAUGAGAAACUUUUCCGUCGCUGGAGGGAACGGUAGAAAAUAAUCCAUUGCGUCUAUCUUGCUCAAAGUGGCGGAAAUCUUGAAGGACCUAUGCCUCGUUGACAAGUCUAUGGAAAUAAGGUUAAAUUUGAAUUAUGUUAAAUGUCUUUUGUAUUUUUUAUAAAAAUAAUUUAAUCUCUAAAUUAUAAUUCGU
Molecule: unclassified non-coding RNA, 4305 nt
Filed under: Hevea brasiliensis (rubber tree)
Lineage: Eukaryota; Viridiplantae; Streptophyta; Magnoliopsida; Malpighiales; Euphorbiaceae
Source: RNAcentral